UACGGAGGGUGCAAGCGUUAUCCGGAUUCGCUGGGCUUAAAGGGCGCGUAGGUGGGCUGGUAAGUCAGUGGUGAAAUCUCCGAGCUUAACUUGGAAACUGCCAUUGAUACUAUCAGUCUUGAAUAUUGUGGAGGUCAGCGGAAUAUGUCAUGUAGCGGUGAAAUGCUUAGAUAUGACAUAGAACACCAAUUGCGAAGGCAGCUGGCUACACAUAUAUUGACACUGAGGCACGAAAGCGUGGGGAUCAAACAGG
Molecule: ribosomal RNA, 253 nt
Filed under: uncultured bacterium
Lineage: Bacteria
Description: partial 16S ribosomal RNA
Rfam family: Bacterial small subunit ribosomal RNA
Source: RNAcentral